UUUAAUAAAACAUUUUUUCUUUAAAUUUCACCGACUUGUCUGACGAACGAAAUAAGUUUCAAUAGAAAUGGUAUAGGGUUGCCUGCGAAAAUCCGGUCACAAAUAAGGGUUGCCAGGCUUUUUAAUGAAAUAAGAAGGGAAGACUU
Long non-coding RNA from Cydia strobilella, 146 nucleotides. RefSeq lists it as uncharacterized. NCBI's taxonomy places the organism in Eukaryota, Metazoa, Arthropoda, Insecta, Lepidoptera, Tortricidae. The transcript has 2 exons. The record is from RefSeq and is a predicted model, not a curated record.